This 1730-nucleotide ribosomal RNA is filed under the name Shigella sonnei. RNAcentral describes it as "partial 23S ribosomal RNA". It matches the Rfam family "Bacterial large subunit ribosomal RNA", at positions 449 to 2164 of the family's 2925-position model. The record is from RNAcentral. Lineage: Bacteria; Pseudomonadati; Pseudomonadota; Gammaproteobacteria; Enterobacterales; Enterobacteriaceae.
GGACCCAUCCUCCAAGGCUAAAUACUCCUGACUGACCGAUAGUGAACCAGUACCGUGAGGGAAAGGCGAAAAGAACCCCGGCGAGGGGAGUGAAAAAGAACCUGAAACCGUGUACGUACAAGCAGUGGGAGCACGCUUAGGCGUGUGACUGCGUACCUUUUGUAUAAUGGGUCAGCGACUUAUAUUCUGUAGCAAGGUUAACCGAAUAGGGGAGCCGAAGGGAAACCGAGUCUUAACUGGGCGUUAAGUUGCAGGGUAUAGACCCGAAACCCGGUGAUCUAGCCAUGGGCAGGUUGAAGGUUGGGUAACACUAACUGGAGGACCGAACCGACUAAUGUUGAAAAAUUAGCGGAUGACUUGUGGCUGGGGGUGAAAGGCCAAUCAAACCGGGAGAUAGCUGGUUCUCCCCGAAAGCUAUUUAGGUAGCGCCUCGUGAAUUCAUCUCCGGGGGUAGAGCACUGUUUCGGCAAGGGGGUCAUCCCGACUUACCAACCCGAUGCAAACUGCGAAUACCGGAGAAUGUUAUCACGGGAGACACACGGCGGGUGCUAACGUCCGUCGUGAAGAGGGAAACAACCCAGACCGCCAGCUAAGGUCCCAAAGUCAUGGUUAAGUGGGAAACGAUGUGGGAAGGCCCAGACAGCCAGGAUGUUGGCUUAGAAGCAGCCAUCAUUUAAAGAAAGCGUAAUAGCUCACUGGUCGAGUCGGCCUGCGCGGAAGAUGUAACGGGGCUAAACCAUGCACCGAAGCUGCGGCAGCGACGCUUAUGCGUUGUUGGGUAGGGGAGCGUUCUGUAAGCCUGCGAAGGUGUGCUGUGAGGCAUGCUGGAGGUAUCAGAAGUGCGAAUGCUGACAUAAGUAACGAUAAAGCGGGUGAAAAGCCCGCUCGCCGGAAGACCAAGGGUUCCUGUCCAACGUUAAUCGGGGCAGGGUGAGUCGACCCCUAAGGCGAGGCCGAAAGGCGUAGUCGAUGGGAAACAGGUUAAUAUUCCUGUACUUGGUGUUACUGCGAAGGGGGGACGGAGAAGGCUAUGUUGGCCGGGCGACGGUUGUCCCGGUUUAAGCGUGUAGGCUGGUUUUCCAGGCAAAUCCGGAAAAUCAAGGCUGAGGCGUGAUGACGAGGCACUACGGUGCUGAAGCAACAAAUGCCCUGCUUCCAGGAAAAGCCUCUAAGCAUCAGGUAACAUCAAAUCGUACCCCAAACCGACACAGGUGGUCAGGUAGAGAAUACCAAGGCGCUUGAGAGAACUCGGGUGAAGGAACUAGGCAAAAUGGUGCCGUAACUUCGGGAGAAGGCACGCUGAUAUGUAGGUGAAGUCCCUUGCGGAUGGAGCUGAAAUCAGUCGAAGAUACCAGCUGGCUGCAACUGUUUAUUAAAAACACAGCACUGUGCAAACACGAAAGUGGACGUAUACGGUGUGACGCCUGCCCGGUGCCGGAAGGUUAAUUGAUGGGGUCAGCGCAAGCGAAGCUCUUGAUCGAAGCCCCGGUAAACGGCGGCCGUAACUAUAACGGUCCUAAGGUAGCGAAAUUCCUUGUCGGGUAAGUUCCGACCUGCACGAAUGGCGUAAUGAUGGCCAGGCUGUCUCCACCCGAGACUCAGUGAAAUUGAACUCGCUGUGAAGAUGCAGUGUACCCGCGGCAAGACGGAAAGACCCCGUGAACCUUUACUAUAGCUUGACACUGAACAUUGAGCCUUGAUGUGUAGGAUAGGUGGGAGGCUUUGAAGUG